CGAUGCGGGCGGGGAGCACCUCGUUUACACCGAGGGGGUCGUAGGUUCGAGUCCUACAUUGUCCA
This 65-nucleotide transfer RNA is filed under the name Candidatus Falkowbacteria bacterium RIFOXYA2_FULL_47_9. RNAcentral describes it as "tRNA-Val". It matches the Rfam family "tRNA", at positions 13 to 71 of the family's 71-position model. Rfam says of the family: Transfer RNA (tRNA) molecules are approximately 80 nucleotides in length. Their secondary structure includes four short double-helical elements and three loops (D, anti-codon, and T loops). RNAcentral also lists the same sequence under 1 other name. The record is from RNAcentral. Lineage: Bacteria; Candidatus Falkowiibacteriota.